GGUGUAAACAUGGAGACGCGCUGUGUUUGUUCCGGUUUCUCUUCCGCACCCUCUGGAUUUACAGCUUUGCCCAGGUUUGUCAUCAUGGCAGGCAAGAUCCUGUUGUACAAGAGUGACCAGUAAUGAUCUCUAGACCAGAAUUUGAACAUGCACAUCCUUGAGGCCACCAGUGAAAAGACUGUAAGGUCAUAUAGCUUAUACCAUUUCAAGGAGUCAUUGUCUAACCUGGAGAUGGACUGGGGCAGCCCUGGAGUUGCAGUUCAGGAAUACAGAAGGUUCAGAUGUUCGGAAUGUCCGUGAAAGGCUGGCCCUGACCCGCCUGAUGUAGGGACAUGAUUCAUCUCCAGGCUCAAGCCCAUCAUUCAAAGAAAACACCGGAAGAGACUAGGUGUUCUGUGAAAUGGCGUAUUCCGAAGUCUCUGUCACUGAGAGAAGGAUGUAAGCGCAGGAUCAAAGCAUCAUCUUCAAAGAAGGAGCUGUGUGAUCUCUGUCUCUGAAAAUCUCCUCUGUUGACCUCUCAUCGAAGCCAACUUCCUCUGCUUAGUCAUCUUGCUUACUUCACCUAGCACAGUGCCAGUCCAGCUCUACAUCAUGAUCUCCAAGCUCCAGUAACUGCCACCAACUGACAACAGUCUCCAUAUCUCUUCUGGCAAACUCUCACAUGGAAGAGACUUUUCAGACCAUAUCAUGCUUUUCUCACAAUGGAGCAGCAGCUUUGGGUUGGAGAAGGGUCAUGGGGUAUAGAGGAGUGCAGAAUAGAUCCUUUAGAAGGGGCCAUGGAUGGGGCAGACAAUGAGACCUAUUUAUUAUAUCCUCGC
Molecule: long non-coding RNA, 818 nt
Filed under: Equus caballus (horse)
Lineage: Eukaryota; Metazoa; Chordata; Mammalia; Perissodactyla; Equidae
Description: lncRNA (ENSECAG00000029135.3)
Source: RNAcentral